GACGAACGCUGGCGGCGUGCUUAACACAUGCAAGUCGAGCGGAGCGGCGAACGGGUGAGUAACGCGUGAGUAACUGCCCCCCUCUCUGGGAUAACAGUUGGCAACGGCUGCUAAUACCGGAUAGUGGGGGAUGACUCGCGGCCUAUCAGCUUGUUGGUGGGGUAGUGGCCUACCAAGGCGACGACGGGUAGCCGGCCUGAGCGGGCGACCGGCCACAGUGGGCUGAGAUACGUAGCAAACGCGUACGGGAGGCAGCAGGGGGGAAUAUUGCACAAUGGGGGAAACCCUGAGGCAGAAACGCCGCGUGCGGGAUGACGGCCUUCGGGUUGUAAACCGCUUUCAGCCAUGACGCGGUAGUGGCAGAAGAAGCACCGGCUAACUACGUGCCAGCAGCCGCGGUAAUUC
RNAcentral lists this ribosomal RNA (405 nucleotides) under uncultured bacterium. RNAcentral describes it as "partial 16S ribosomal RNA". It matches the Rfam family "Bacterial small subunit ribosomal RNA", at positions 28 to 526 of the family's 1533-position model. The record is from RNAcentral.